GACGAACGCUGGCGGCGUGCUUAACACAUGCAAGUCGAACGGAAAGGCCCUGCUUUUGUGGGGUGCUCGAGUGGCGAACGGGGGAGUAACACGUGAGUAACCUGCCCCUGACUGUGGGAUAACUUCAGGAAACUGGGGCUAAUACCGGGUAGGAGAUCUUGCUGCACGGGGGGGGUUGGAAAGUUUCGGCGGUGUGGGCUGGACUCGCGGCUUAUCAGCUUGUUGGUGGGGUAGUGGCUUACCAAGGCUUUGACGGGUAGCCGGCCUGAGAGGGUGACCGGCCACCUUGGGACUGAGGUACGCCGCAGUCUCCUACGUUCGGCAGCAGUCGGGAAUAUUGCACAAUGGGCGCACGCCUGAGGCGGCAACGCCGCGUUCGGGAUGCCGGCCUUCGGGUUGUAAACCGCUUUCGCCUGUGCCGAAGCGUGAGUGACGGUAAUGGGUAAAGAAGCACCGGCUAACUACGUG
RNAcentral lists this ribosomal RNA (468 nucleotides) under uncultured bacterium. RNAcentral describes it as "partial 16S ribosomal RNA". It matches the Rfam family "Bacterial small subunit ribosomal RNA", at positions 28 to 507 of the family's 1533-position model. The record is from RNAcentral.